RNAcentral lists this small nuclear RNA (187 nucleotides) under Cicer arietinum (chickpea). RNAcentral's name for it is "U2 spliceosomal RNA". It matches the Rfam family "U2 spliceosomal RNA". From Rfam's summary of the family: U2 is a small nuclear RNA (snRNA) component of the spliceosome (involved in pre-mRNA splicing). The record is from Rfam by way of RNAcentral. Lineage: Eukaryota; Viridiplantae; Streptophyta; Magnoliopsida; Fabales; Fabaceae.
NNNNNNUUUUGGCUAAGAUCAAGUGUAGUAUCUGUUCUUAUCAGUUUAAUAUCUGAUAUGUGGUCCAUUGGACCACACGAUAUUAAAUUAAUUUGUUGAGGGUAAGAGGCCACUACAUUAGCUUGCUAUUGGGCCUCUUGAGCGUCGUCUAUGUGUUGCACUACAACAUGGGCUUGGCGCACCCCAU